UACGUAGGGUGCGAGCGUUGUCCGGAAUUACUGGGCGUAAAGAGCUCGUAGGUGGUUUGUCGCGUUGUCCGUGAAAACUCACAGCUUAACUGUGGGCGUGCGGGCGAUACGGGCAGACUGGAGUACUGCAGGGGAGACUGGAAUUCCUGGUGUAGCGGUGGAAUGCGCAGAUAUCAGGAGGAACACCGGUGGCGAAGGCGGGUCUCUGGGCAGUAACUGACGCUGAGGAGCGAAAGCUAGGGGAGCGAAUGGG
RNAcentral lists this ribosomal RNA (253 nucleotides) under uncultured bacterium. Its description in RNAcentral is "partial 16S ribosomal RNA". It matches the Rfam family "Bacterial small subunit ribosomal RNA", at positions 524 to 776 of the family's 1533-position model. The record is from RNAcentral.